ACAUGCAAGUAGAACGCUGAAGAGAGGAGCUUGCUCUUCUUGGAUGAGUUGCGAACGGGUGAGUAACGCGUAGGUAACCUGCCUUGUAGCGGGGGAUAACUAUUGGAAACGAUAGCUAAUACCGCAUAACAAUGGAUGACACAUGUCAUUUAUUUGAAAGGGGCAAUUGCUCCACUACAAGAUGGACCUGCGUUGUAUUAGCUAGUAGGUGAGGUAAUGGCUCACCUAGGCGACGAUACAUAGCCGACCUGAGAGGGUGAUCGGCCACACUGGGACUGAGACACGGCCCAGACUCCUACGGGAGGCAGCAGUAGGGAAUCUUCGGCAAUGGGGGCAACCCUGACCGAGCAACGCCGCGUGAGUGAAGAAGGUUUUCGGAUCGUAAAGCUCUGUUGUAAGUCAAGAACGGGUGUGAGAGUGGAAAGUUCACACUGUGACGGUAGCUUACCAGAAAGGGACGGCUAACUACGUGCCAGCAGCCGCGGUAAUACGUAGGUCCCGAGCGUUGUCCGGAUUUAUUGGGCGUAAAGCGAGCGCAGGCGGUUUGAUAAGUCUGAAGUUAAAGGCUGUGGCUCAACCAUAGUUCGCUUUGGAAACUGUCAAACUUGAGUGCAGAAGGGGAGAGUGGAAUUCCAUGUGUAGCGGUGAAAUGCGUAGAUAUAUGGAGGAACACCGGUGGCGAAAGCGGCUCUCUGGUCUGUAACUGACGCUGAGGCUCGAAAGCGUG
This 727-nucleotide ribosomal RNA is filed under the name uncultured Streptococcus sp. RNAcentral describes it as "bacterial SSU rRNA". It matches the Rfam family "Bacterial small subunit ribosomal RNA", at positions 53 to 763 of the family's 1533-position model. Lineage: Bacteria; Bacillati; Bacillota; Bacilli; Lactobacillales; Streptococcaceae. The record is from RNAcentral.